Molecule: ribosomal RNA, 445 nt
Filed under: uncultured Sphingobacteriales bacterium
Lineage: Bacteria; Pseudomonadati; Bacteroidota; Sphingobacteriia; Sphingobacteriales
Description: bacterial SSU rRNA
Rfam family: Bacterial small subunit ribosomal RNA
Source: RNAcentral
AGCAUGUGGUUUAAUUCGAUGAUACGCGAGGAACCUUACCUGGGCUCAAAUGUAUGUUUGACGUAUUCUGAAAGGGAUACUUCUUCGGACAAUAUACAAGGUGCUGCAUGGUUGUCGUCAGCUCGUGCCGUGAGGUGUCGGGUUAAGUCCCAUAACGAGCGCAACCCCUAUCAUUAGUUGCCAUCGGGUCAAGCUGGGGACUCUAAUGAAACUGCCUACGCAAGUGGUGAGGAAGGUGGGGAUGACGUCAAAUCAGCACGGCCCUUACGUCCAGGGCUACACACGUGCUACAAUGGCCGGUACAAAGGGCAGCUACCUGGUGACAGGAUGCUAAUCUCAAAAGCCGGUCUCAGUUCGGAUCGGAGUCUGCAACCCGACUCCGUGAAGCUGGAAUUGCUAGUAAUCGCGCAUCAGCCAUGGCGCGGUGAAUACGUUCCCGGGCCUU